AAACCCCUUAAAAACCAGUAUAGACCCCUAAAAACCACUAAAACCCCCUCAAAACACCUAUAAACCCCUUAAAAUCCACUAUGAACCCUUCAAACCCACUGAAAACCUUAAAAUCCACUAAAACCCCUUAAAGACACUUUUAAACCCCUCAAAAACCUUUAUAAACCCCUAAAGACCACUAAAAACACUUAUAAACCCAUCAAAAACCACUAUAAACCCUUAAAAACAACUAAAAACACUUUUAAACCCCUCAAAAACCACUAGAAACACUUUUAAACCCCUCAAAAGCCAAUAUAAACUCUUAAAAACGACUAAAACCCCUUAAAACACAUAUAAACAUUCAAAAACCAUUAUAAACCCUUAAAAACCACUAAAAACCCCUAAAA
This 386-nucleotide long non-coding RNA is filed under the name Vigna radiata. RNAcentral's name for it is "long non-coding RNA (VRAD_LNC016154)". The record is from RNAcentral. Lineage: Eukaryota; Viridiplantae; Streptophyta; Magnoliopsida; Fabales; Fabaceae.